CCUACGGGUGGCUGCAGUGAGGAAUAUUGGUCAAUGGGCGAGAGCCUGAACCAGCCAAGUCGCGUGAGGGAAGACGGUCCUAUGGAUUGUAAACCUCUUUUGCCGGGGAGCAAAAGACGGUACGUGUGGCGCACCGAGAGUACCCGAAGAAAAAGCAUCGGCUAACUCCGUGCCAGCAGCCGCGGUAAUACGGAGGAUGCGAGCGUUAUCCGGAUUUAUUGGGUUUAAAGGGUGCGCAGGGGGACAAUAAAGUCAGCGGUAAAAUUGAGGGGCUCAACCCCUACGAGCCGUUGAAACUGGUUUGCUAGAGUGUGUGAGAAGUAUGCGGAAUGCGUGGUGUAGCGGUGAAAUGCAUAGAUAUCACGCAGAACUCCGAUUGCGAAGGCAGCAUACCGGCGCUCAACUGACGCUCAUGCACGAAAGUGUGGGUAUCGAACAGGAUUAGAUACCCGUGUAGUC
Molecule: ribosomal RNA, 459 nt
Filed under: uncultured bacterium
Lineage: Bacteria
Description: partial 16S ribosomal RNA
Rfam family: Bacterial small subunit ribosomal RNA
Source: RNAcentral